UUUUAAAUAAGGACUAGAACAAAAGAUUUAACAUUUUAAAUUAUUUAUUAAAUUAAAUUUUCCAAUUUAUUUUAAAUGUAAAAAAACAUUUAUAAAAAAAAAAGACGACAAGACCCUAUUGAACUUAACUUAAGUUAUACUGGGGCAGUAAGUUAAGUAUAAUUUUAAUUUAUAUAUUAAACUAAAUAUCCAAUUAAUUUGAAUUAUUCAGUUACCAUAGGGAUAACAGCGCAAUUAUAUUUUAAAGCUCUCAUUUUAAAAAUAGAUUACGACCUCGAUGUUGAAUUAAUAACCUAAUUAAAGCAAAUUUUAAAAAAGGAAGUCUGUUCGACUUUUAAAAAAUUACAUGAUUUGAGUUCAGACCGGUGUAAGCCAGGUCGGCUUCUAUCUUUUAUAUAAAUUUUAUGUAGUACGAAAGGACCUAUAAAUAUAAUUUCAUUAUAUAAUUGGCAGACAAUUGCAUUAGAAUUAGAAUCUAAUUAAUCUUAU
Molecule: ribosomal RNA, 489 nt
Filed under: Pristobaeus beccarii
Lineage: Eukaryota; Metazoa; Arthropoda; Arachnida; Araneae; Salticidae
Description: partial 16S ribosomal RNA
Rfam family: Bacterial large subunit ribosomal RNA (bases 99-393)
Source: RNAcentral